This 72-nucleotide ribozyme is filed under the name unclassified sequences. Its description in RNAcentral is "Twister_sister_ribozyme". It matches the Rfam family "Twister_sister_ribozyme". The record is from Rfam by way of RNAcentral.
AGGCAGCGGCAGACUACGACCCGUGCAAGCCGGGUGCACCCCGCAAGGGGUGCGGCGCUCACAGCUUUAGCU